AAUGAGUUGGCAGAGAUAUGCACUUGAUUUAGGAUCAACUCACAGGAUAAUUUCCUACUCAUU
This 63-nucleotide transfer RNA is filed under the name Perinereis aibuhitensis. Its description in RNAcentral is "tRNA-Leu". Lineage: Eukaryota; Metazoa; Annelida; Polychaeta; Phyllodocida; Nereididae. The record is from RNAcentral.